This 253-nucleotide ribosomal RNA is filed under the name uncultured bacterium. RNAcentral describes it as "partial 16S ribosomal RNA". It matches the Rfam family "Bacterial small subunit ribosomal RNA", at positions 524 to 776 of the family's 1533-position model. The record is from RNAcentral.
UACGUAGGGUGCAAGCGUUGUCCGGAAUUAUUGGGCGUAAAGGGCUCGUAGGCGGUCCAUCGCGUCGGGAGUGAAAAGCUGGGGCUCAACCCCAGUCCUGCUUCCGAUACGGGUGGACUAGAGGUAUGCAGGGGAGAACGGAAUUCCUGGUGUAGCGGUGAAAUGCGCAGAUAUCAGGAGGAACACCGGUGGCGAAGGCGCCACUCUGGGCCGAAACUGACGCUGAGGAGCGAAAGCGUGGGUAGCAAACAGG